CAGCUGUUGUAUCUGAAUUAGAUCAUUCAGGUGUACCCCUAUGUUAAAAAGAUAAUGGGGCAGUCGCCAUGAAUAUAAUGUACCACAGGCUUUUGACAGACAGUAAAGUGCAUGUUCUACAGCGGGAUUUAGAGCUCAGCAGGCGGCCGGUGCGCCCGACGUCCUCUUCUGUUCACUCCACCCCGCCCAAGAAGCGAGCUACCCGGGAGAAGAUGCGCGUCGCGGGUCCGGACGGAGCAGACUGCAGCUAACGACAGUGUGGAAAAAGUUACCACUCGUUUGCUCGGUUGUACGCCGGUCAGGUGUGACCGUGUGAGGUCGUCCGGAGCGUGGAGCGGUCUUGUCUUCUUCGGACUCCAGGUCGUCUUAACUCCCGGAGUCAUUUGUUUUGUUGUCUUUUU
Long non-coding RNA from Phyllopteryx taeniolatus (common seadragon), 401 nucleotides. RefSeq lists it as uncharacterized. Lineage: Eukaryota; Metazoa; Chordata; Actinopteri; Syngnathiformes; Syngnathidae. The transcript has 3 exons. The record is from RefSeq and is a predicted model, not a curated record.